AUGAAUAAGAGCUUCACUUAUAUGUGCAAACUGAGUUGCAAUAUUUUCAUGCCUUCUACUUCUUGGUACCCGUGCGGCAACGUGGUCGUCAUUCGCGUCCCGCACGAGGGUGUCUGCCAGCGGGACCGUUGCGGCAGGCUGUGCGUGGAGCAGUUCAUGUGGAAGUACCCGGGCAUCAAGGCCGUCAUAGGCGACUGCACGGCGGAGAAUACCCACGAAUGCAUCUGCUCUUUUCUUUGCUAG
Molecule: ribosomal RNA, 243 nt
Filed under: Triticum aestivum (bread wheat)
Lineage: Eukaryota; Viridiplantae; Streptophyta; Magnoliopsida; Poales; Poaceae
Description: partial small subunit ribosomal RNA
Source: RNAcentral